CCGGCUAACUACGUGCCAGCAGCCGCGGUAAUACGUAGGGCGCAAGCGUUAUCCGGAAUUAUUGGGCGUAAAGAGCUCGUAGGCGGUUUGUCGCGUCUGCUGUGAAACCCCGAGGCUCAACCUCGGGCCUGCAGUGGGUACGGGCAGACUAGAGUGCGGUAGAGGAGAUUGGAAUUCCUGGUGUAGCGGUGGAAUGCGCAGAUAUCAGGAGGAACACCGAUGGCGAAGGCAAUCCCCUGGGCCUGCACUGACGCUCAUGCACGAAAGCGUGGGGAGCAAACAGGAUUAGAUACCCUGGUAGUCCACGCCGUAAACGAUGUCUACUAGCCGUUGGGGUCCUUGAGACUUUAGUGGCGCAGUUAACGCGAUAAGUAGACCGCCUGGGGAGUACGGCCGCAAGGUUAAAACUCAAAUGAAUUGACGGGGGCCCGCACAAGCGGUGGAGCAUGUGGUUUAAUUCGAUGCAACGCGAAGAACCUUACCAAGGCUUGACAUGUUCUCGAUCGCCGUAGAGAUACGGUUUCCCCUUUGGGGCGGGUUCACAGGUGGUGCAUGGUUGUCGUCAGCUCGUGUCGUGAGAUGUUGGGUUAAGUCCCGCAACGAGCGCAACCCUCGUUCCAUGUUGCCAGCACGUAAUGGUGGGGACUCAUGGGAGACUGCCGGGGUCAACUCGGAGGAAGGUGAGGACGACGUCAAAUCAUCAUGCCCCUUAUGUCUUGGGCUUCACGCAUGCUACAAUGGCCGGUACAAUGGGCUGCAAUACCGCAAGGUGGAGCGAAUCCCAAAAAGCCGGUCCCAGUUCGGAUUGAGGUCUGCAACUCGACCUCAUGAAGUCGGAGUCGCUAGUAAUCGCAGAUCAGCAACGCUGCGGUGAAUACGUUCCCGGGUCUUGUACACACCGCCCGUCAAGUCAUGAAAGUCGGUAACACCUGAAGCCGGUGGCCCAACCCUUGUGGAGGGAGCCGUCGAAGGUGGGAUCGGUAAUUAGGACUAAGUCGAAACAAGGUAGCCGUACCGGAAGGUGCGGCUGGAUCACCUCCUU
RNAcentral lists this ribosomal RNA (1042 nucleotides) under uncultured eukaryote. RNAcentral's name for it is "partial Bacterial small subunit ribosomal RNA". It matches the Rfam family "Bacterial small subunit ribosomal RNA", at positions 493 to 1532 of the family's 1533-position model. The record is from RNAcentral.